Anopheles nili is the source of this 5512-nucleotide RNA transcript. It is a transcript of the gene named cAMP-dependent protein kinase type II regulatory subunit, with no coding region annotated. The transcript has 11 exons. NCBI's taxonomy places the organism in Eukaryota, Metazoa, Arthropoda, Insecta, Diptera, Culicidae. The record is from RefSeq and is a predicted model, not a curated record.
AAAGAAAACACGCGUGUAUUUCGAUUAAAUUUGACCAUUUGCUGCGUAAGAAAUUCUAGUGCGUGCGUUUAGGAUUUUACCGUUAACGAAUAUCGGUUGAAUCCUGGAAGCUGGAGAUUUGGCGGAAAGAAAAACGAAAGCGAGCUUAUGGAGUAGGAGUGCAUAUUUGACAGGAAAGUGCAUCGGCAGCCAGUGGUUCCUGUUUCAUUCAUCGAACCCCGAUAACUCGUGCUCGGUGCUACCCUCUCUGCGCCUGCAAGGCUAGAACGGUGCGUGCGUCAGUGUGUGAGCCCAAUCCCGGGAAGUGCGUGAAGUGAGUUGUGGUGGUGGGCUGAAAAACGGUGCUGUUAAACCUCACCCUCGCCGCCCCACCGCUGUUCUGUAAUCGACGCCCAAACACAAUCCCGAAACGAAAAAAAAAGAAAAUCUCACGUACAGCCAGCACAACUGCGGCGGCGGCGAUCGAAGGAUAGAGCUUGUGGCGUGCCCGCAAAACCACUCGUCUCGCAGCAGACCGAAAGAGCGACAAGACAAACGAACUAUGUCGAGUCAACAGAAGCAUCGAAUUCAGGUUCCGGACGGGCUACGGGAUGUGCUGCUGGAGUUCUCGAUAGCAUAUCUGCUGGAGCAGCCCGGCGACGUGAUCGAUUACGCAGUGACGUUCUUCACAAAGCUACAGGAAGACCGCAAAACAACGAUGAUCACGUCUGCCGAACCGACCUCGCCAGACGAGAGCAUAAUGUCGCACGAUGAAGAACCACUUGUGAAUCGGUAUGCAACACGCAGGAAAUCCGUGUUUGCCGAAACGUACGAUCCGGAGAAUGAUGACGAAGAUGAGGGUGCUCGAGCAAUAUUCCCCAAGACGGAUGAACAGCGAGCACGGUUGUGUGAUUCCGUUAAAAAUAUUCUCCUUUUCCGUUCAUUGGACAAAGAACAGAUGAACGAAGUGCUAGAUGCGAUGUUCGAAAAGAUUGUUCAAUCUAAAGACUACAUCAUCAAACAGGGAGAUGAUGGUGACAACUUUUACGUCAUUGAGUCCGGUACAUACUUCGCGUAUGUCGGUGAAGAACAGAAGCACAUACAUACCUACGAUAACAGAGGAAGCUUUGGAGAGCUGGCACUACUGUACAACAUGCCGAGAGCUGCCACAAUUCAAGCGGAAACUGAUGGUAAAUUGUGGGCAAUGGAUCGCCAAACAUUCCGAAGAAUUCUGCUAAAGUCUGCGUUUAGGAAACGGAAAAUGUACGAAGCCCUUCUGGAUGCAGUUCCAAUGCUAAAAACACUACAGAACUAUGAACGGAUGAAUUUGGCAGAUGCUCUGAUACCUCAAACGUACGCUAAAGGUGAUCGUAUUAUCAAGCAAGGUGACGCUGCUGAUGGCAUGUACUUUAUCGAGGAUGGCAAAGUAUCCAUCCGCAUCCAGCAGGAUGCAGGAGAGGUAGAAAUUUCCAAUUUAGAAAAGGGAGGAUAUUUUGGCGAGCUCGCUUUAGUGACACACAGGCCACGAGCCGCUUCCGCUUACGCAGUCGACAAUGUGAAAGUGGCAUUUUUGGACGUGGACGCGUUUGAACGUCUUCUUGGACCGUGCAUGAAUAUCAUGAAGCGCAACAUUGGAGAUUACGAAACACAGCUAGUGAAAAUUUUCGGCAGCAAAAACAACAUCACCGAUAUCCGAUAAAGCGACACCAUUGGAUGGCCAUUAAUUUAUCGGCUCUAUUGACGCGAGGACUAUUCUCACGUUUUUUUUCCUGUUACGAAUGAACACAGCGUUGCUAGAUCCGGAAGCUCGGAGCUUAGUUAUUUAUGUUGAACGAGGUAGUAUUAUUUAAGGAUAAUAUGAGUAAAAUCAGCAAAACAUAAAGGAUAAAAUCAAUAACAAAAGCGAUGCUGAUAAUAAAAUAGUUUGCUGACAAAAACCAGUGACAGUUUGCGUGAACAAACAAGAUUGAAAACUCAGAACAAAUAGUAAGAAGAAACGAAUCGAUAACGCUGACAUCGUGCAUACUUUCAUUCAAACGUAUCAAAUAACAGCACGAAGGAUUAGAACAAUGCCAUACAAACGAAAUGAUUUAGAUAGUAAGCAGCAGUAAAUUGCAGUACGAGGAACAGUAUCCAAACAGAAACAAAAUGUAUGUGAGUGAAAAAAAUAUCAGGUGCGUAGGUUUGCUUAAUAAAACAUGAGAAAGAAUAUAUCAGUCUAUAUAAUUUUUCGUUAACCCCGAAGUUAGGCAACAGUACCAGUAAACAGUGGAGUAGGAAAACUGAGUAAAAUAUUCCACAAUACACACAAUACAUAUAAAAAGGUAUUUUCAAACAGACGGCGAUCAAGUAGACGAUUACAUUCAGUGUGAAAAUAUAGUUUAAUUUGAUAUCAACCGAACAGAAAAACCAGUUAAGGCGAAUAGUAAAAGAAACUAUACUUGUAAAGCUUCGUUUAAGUCAUGUCUAAGAAUGUAUUGCGAUGAAAACCAUUUGCACCAUACGACUGUUGACUGCAUGUGCAAAAUAACACAAAAGCAUUUGCUCAUAACAGACAUGAGUUUGUAAAACAGAAAACGCACGGAAAAACUGCGUAGAGAAACCCAUAUAUUCCCAAAAAAAAAACGAUUAUGAUGGAGAUCUUGAUAUUAAUAUUUUUAUCGGUCAAUGUCCUUAAAGACGCCACCCCAAAAUAGAAAUGAAAUAGUAAAGCUGUAUAACUCUGAUGGCAACUUGUUCAAUAUACUCUGAAGCGUCUUCGAAGAUGAAUCUCUCGUAACAUCAAUAGCCACCGCAUGUUCACACAGUGCUUUGAUCAUUUCGAACUUUCCGAGCGCUUUGAACGGUUUCACGUAGAAGCAAAUCCAACCAUAAUCCUAUUAGACCAAAACAUGCAUACAAAACUGAAACCGAAACUAGGUUGGAGUUGUCGUAGAGGGUGCGUAAAUUCAUUGGAGAGCUAAGUUGAAUUUUGUAUGGUUUUUCACGUUCAACAUAUCACGGUAGCGCGUUUGUACGAUGGAUUGUGGCGAUGCUGAGUGUAACUUUAACGCAAUGGUACUGCUACACCCGGUACACUAGCUUCGUACCAACUCCAAAGCUUCCUAGAGUGGACCGUAGCAUUGCUUUACGCUACGGCUACGGACGGUCUCAACGCACUAAAGCCGUAAUCGUAGGAAUACAAAACGAAGCAGUAGUGUAGUCUCAAUAAAAGGGCAACGCACAAUCGCUCUUAAUUACCUGUUGAUGAUGGAAGCGCUGUUUAAACGGCUACAGCAUGCAGGAAGCCAUUCCGAGGGUUUCAAUGACCUAUCCUAGCACAAUCGCAUAAUGAAUGGAUCUUUCUGUAUCACACCCGCGUCUGUAACUGUCCGCAAUACCUCUAGAAAAGAACUAAAAAUCAGCCCCAGCCCAGCACUAAAGGAACCAGAGGAGAGAGAAAGGCGUGAAAAUAAAUAUUACAAAAACAUAGAAGAGAGAAAUGAGGCGUGCAAUGAAAAUGUAAGAACAAAAGAGAAUAUGGCGGAGACUAACAAAUAAUAAGAAAAAAAUCGUUGACAUCUUAAAUGUGCCCUUUUAUCCAUGAGAUGAUAUACAUAUAAAUGAGAUGAAAUAUCUUUAAUCUUACUUAGUCGCACGGCAAGAAAUGCUACGCAGGCAGCAUAACGCUCAUUCAAACUCACCCGAUCCCACGCUGGACGUCCUGUGAGACGGCUGAAAACUUCCUGAGACAGGAAUGUGCAAAAACAAGUGGCAAUUCGGGCACCACCGGGUGCUGAGGGAAAGUCGAUAAGUUAUGCCACAGGCAUUCGUUGAGGAAGGCAUUUUCGAACUUCUACACUUGUAGUAUUUUUGUUAGGUAUAUGAAGAGAGCUUAUAUGAAAAUGAUGGAGAGGAAAAACAAAAACCAAACAAACCUAAAUCAAGCGGUCUGACCAGGAAGCGCCGUGUCCGUGACAUUCAAAUAUGACGACGUACAAUAUGAUUGGAAAAUGAAACAAAAAUUACAUGCGAUCACGCGGAUACAUUCAGUCACGCAGAGGUGUAUAAGCGCAGGAAAAACAAACUAAAAAAAACCAGGCAUGUAAGGCUUCUACAUGCGAUGCUUCGCGAUCCUUCAGAUCCAACAGUCAAUAGUGUAAACAAUAGUGCAAAAUCGCGAUCAAGAUAUCUGAAGAUUUGUAUUCGUGUGUGCGACAAAUCUAUCACCAGCAACUUUCUUUGUUGAUUAGGCUGAUGUAUUGGUUUGGUGUUUAGCAGGCCAUCCUGAAGAAUCAAAAUAUUGUUUCAAAUAUUUCAAAACAAAUAUGAUACCCAUCGGAUCCAAUGUGAGAGUGCGUUCAAUAUUGCAAGUGUGAUUUAAUUCCCAUCCCAUGCCCCACAUGCCACUGGAAAUGCGCAGGCAAAUUUAGUUAGUUUAUUGAUCUAAGGCUUAGCCACUAUCUAGCCACUAGAUGAGGCAUUCGCGCAUGUGCAAAUUGCGGCACUGGCAUUGACUAGUGACGAAACGUCUCGGCUUCCAUCCGCAGGGAUGUUUCCAUCCGCAUGCCAUCAUGUUGCGCCCCACAGAAAAUGCUGGCCAUUUUCGUUUUAAGCGUUGUUUAUUUAAUGAUAAUUUUACCGUACAUCGAAGCGUUUAGCCAUGCUUAAUCGAUUAAUUAAGACUACACCAACGGUAGAUCUUAAAGGCAGCACGUAUCAAAACACUAUUUGCUUUGUUCUUCUUAGAAAUUAGUUCUCUUACGAUUUCUUGUUAAAUGUUACAAUUUUUAAAAUAGGAAUUCAAGCCACUGAAAACUAGAGAAUAUUUUUUCGGCCGUUUGGAUGCAAUUUUGUUUGGCAAACGAAAGUAAAAAAUAGCAACAAAAUUGUUCGCCUGAAAAAUAGUCUGUUGUAAUGUGGUAGUAGAAGCAUCCACUCCAUUGAUUCCUUCCAUCGACUAACUAACAUUGCGUUUUACUAGCAAGGGCAGAUAGAUGUGAAAAAUGUUUGAAAUUUCGUUCCUUCACGAUUUACUCAAGUUCUUACGCAAGAAUUGUAUAUCCGUGCCCCCAAAUAAACCUUAUCGGCGAGGUAUGAUGAUGUAACGUACAGGACAUUCAAAUGAUAUUGCCAGCUCAAUGCUUCCUGACAUCACGCGCAUUCAUAGAUGAAGAUAAAAAUGCGUGCGAAAGUAUUAGUUUGGACCUAUGUAUUGGUAUAACCUGCUUACGUGUGGGAAGGCCCUUGUUUUGGAGAGUAUCAAUAUCAUCAGUCCAGUGUAGUCUCAGUCUCCGUCUAAUUUCGUUCCAAGCGACGGUUCAGUUGGCAGUUUUAAAGAAAACAGGAAAUCAAUGCAAAACCCAAAUAAAAGAUCUAUGCGUAACAAAACAAUUGAAAAAGAAGAAAAAAAGAUUUAACAAAACAACAUGUUGCUGUCUCGUUAAUGAAGGUGUCGUAUUUAAAAAAUAAAAAUGAAAGUAGAAACAAAUCAUACGCCAAUGUGUACAAAAACGUAUCGCUGUAGUUAAUUUUGUGUCGUUUGUUUAGCUUC